Long non-coding RNA from Thunnus maccoyii (southern bluefin tuna), 519 nucleotides. RefSeq lists it as uncharacterized. The transcript is spliced from 4 exons. Lineage: Eukaryota; Metazoa; Chordata; Actinopteri; Scombriformes; Scombridae. The record is from RefSeq and is a predicted model, not a curated record.
UCCAGCCCUCUGCCUUCGCAACCCGCAGGAAAUGGCCCCAUUGUCCUUGGGAGAGGAAGUGGCCUGCAGCAGACCACUAGCUCACUGGAUCUAUGGAGACUGUGAUGACCAAAUGGAACACGGAGCGGACCAGCCGUUGUGACAGCUGAGCUACAAACUUACUGUGGGAAACUUCAGCGCCGACCACGACCUUGAACAGACUCAAAUGACAUAAACAUGACACACUCUGUACAGGACAGAAGCCGGCCGGUAAAGCAGCACUAGCAGCUAGAGAGCAUUUAAUUCGAUGGACACACAUUAAAGAAGAGAGAAAGAGUGCCCUACCUGCACAGGACAUCCUAUGCUAAGCUAACUGCUGCAGCAGCAGAUCUCUACCUUCUCAGCCAAUCACAGCCUGAUGCCCUAGGAGCCUCUGUUCUCUCCCUGAGCCACCAGGGGGCCUCAGUCCCACAUCGGGACACCCAACACCGAGUUUGUCUUCAUCCUGAACCCUCCGGCCCCAGUCAAGCUGUCCCACCC